UAAUAUUCAUUUUAAACAUUCAAAAUGAUCGGGUAAAUUAAAUUUCCUUAAUGAUUUGACUGUAAAUGCAAGUUAACGUUGUGCUUCGGCUUAGAUUGGUGAUUAACAGAAAAGAAACAUCGCUUUGAAGCAAUGACACAAAAUUUUACAAGAUGUACAAAUCAUGAAGCGCAAUUGCCUAACUGGUUUCAAUUUUUGGCUUAUGCUUUCAUUCCAGUUAUUUAAAUAUUGAGUUCACUGGUUAAAUGAUGUCAUGCAAUAUGGCGGAUAGUAAGAAUUUGGAUAGUCUUGUGGUUACGGACGAAAUUUUGUCAUCAAAAAGGAUAUUAAAAAAGGUCGUAUGGUCCGUGAUUCAUGACAUAUCGUGGCCGGUUCAUGAUGUUUCUAAAGAUGUUCACAGUAUGGUGGAAAUUUUAUCUAAAGUUGAACAUUCACAAGAGCUGCUGAUGUAAAUAGACCUGUCAUUGUUAUAUGCAGGUGACUGGCAUUGUGCAUAUGUGUUGCUAUACGGGCCGAGAAGACUAGAAACCAUUAAAGAAUCUUCGUGAUCACGUGAUCUUAAGAAGAAGUGGAUUUUGUACCUUUAAAGAAUGCGGUAUUGUGCCGAUAUGUCUAUGGGUUGAUAUCAUCUCAAAAUCUCCUGUUGAGUAAUUUCUUUCAAAUCAACACUGCAGUAUUUCCUUCAUUGUCAUCGAGACAUUUAAGUUUAUACGCUAGCCAAUUGACAAUUUUUAAAAAAAGAUUUGUAUUUUAAAGAUUUGAUUAUUUCUACAUGGAGAAA
Xenia sp. Carnegie-2017 is the source of this 781-nucleotide long non-coding RNA. RefSeq lists it as uncharacterized. The record is from RefSeq and is a predicted model, not a curated record. The transcript has 3 exons. NCBI's taxonomy places the organism in Eukaryota, Metazoa, Cnidaria, Anthozoa, Malacalcyonacea, Xeniidae.